GACGAACGCUGGCGGCGUGCUUAACACAUGCAAGUCGAACGGAAAGGCCCUGCUUUUGUGGGGUGCUCGAGUGGCGAACGGGUGAGUAACACGUGAGUAACCUGCCCUUGACUUUGGGAUAACUUCAGGAAACUGGGGCUAAUACCGGAUAGGAGCUCCUGCUGCAUGGUGGGGGUUGGAAAGUUUCGGCGGUUGGGGAUGGACUCGCGGCUUAUCGGCUUGUUGGUGGGGUAGUGGCUUACCAAGGCUUUGACGGGUAGCCGGCCUGAGAAGGUGACCGGCCACAUUGGGACUGAGAUACGGCCCAGACUCCUACGGGAGGCAGCAGUGGGGAAUAUUGCACAAUGGGCGGAAGCCUGAUGCAGCAACGCCGCGUGCGGGAUGACGGCCUUCGGGUUGUAAACCGCUUUCGCCUGUGACGAAGCGUGAGUGACGGUAAUGGGUAAAGAAGCACCGGCUAACUACGUG
This 468-nucleotide ribosomal RNA is filed under the name uncultured bacterium. Its description in RNAcentral is "partial 16S ribosomal RNA". It matches the Rfam family "Bacterial small subunit ribosomal RNA", at positions 28 to 507 of the family's 1533-position model. The record is from RNAcentral.